This 270-nucleotide ribosomal RNA is filed under the name uncultured archaeon. RNAcentral's name for it is "partial 16S ribosomal RNA". It matches the Rfam family "Archaeal small subunit ribosomal RNA", at positions 477 to 747 of the family's 1478-position model. The record is from RNAcentral.
CAGCACCUCAAGUGGUUAGGAUGAUUAUUGGGCCUAAAGCAUCCGUAGCCGGCUCUGUAAGUUUUCGGUUAAAUCUGUACGCUCAACGUACAGGCUGCCGGGAAUACUGCAGAGCUAGGGAGUGGGAGAGGUAGACGGUACUCGGUAGGAAGGGGUAAAAUCCUUUGAUCUAUUGAUGACCACCUGUGGCGAAGGCGGUCUACCAGAACACGUCCGACGGUGAGGGAUGAAAGCUGGGGGAGCAAACCGGAUUAGAGACCCGAGUAGUCC